This 446-nucleotide ribosomal RNA is filed under the name uncultured bacterium. RNAcentral describes it as "bacterial SSU rRNA". It matches the Rfam family "Bacterial small subunit ribosomal RNA", at positions 329 to 792 of the family's 1533-position model. The record is from RNAcentral.
CUCCAGACUCCUACGGGAGGCAGCAGUGGGGAAUAUUGCACAAUGGGGGAAACCCUGAUGCAGCGACGCCGCGUGAGCGAAGAAGUAUUUCGGUAUGUAAAGCUCUCUCAGCAGGGAAGAAAAUGACGGUACCUGAGUAAGAAGCUCCGGCUAAAUACGUGCCAGCAGCCGCGGUAAUACGUAUGGAGCAAGCGUUAUCCGGAUUUACUGGGCGUAAAGGGAGCGUAGGCGGCCUGCCAAGUCUGAUGUGAAAGACCGGGGGUCAACCCCGGGGCUGCAUUGGAAACUGGCAGGCUGGAGUGCCGGAGAGGCAGGCGGAAUUCCUAGUGUAGCGGUGAAAUGCGUAGAUAUUAGGAGGAACACCGGUGGCGAAGGCGGCUUACUGGACUGUAACUGACGUUGAGGCUCGAAAGCGUGGGGAGCAAACAGGAUUAGAUACCCCAGUA